AUGGGAAUUUGGUAGUGGUCUGUAUUUGAUGGAUUCCUGUUUCUAUAUUUGCAUUUUUUGGGAUGAUUUUGGAAGUUACCCAGCUCAUACUGAAAUAUGUAACUGUUGAGAAUGCUUCCUUUAUUUUAUAUCUGAAAUUAUGCAGGUAAAUUUCUCUGCCUUCUUAACUCGUAAGAAAGUGAGAAAUAGAAACAU
RNAcentral lists this small nuclear RNA (195 nucleotides) under Cryptosporidium parvum. The record is from RNAcentral. Lineage: Eukaryota; Apicomplexa; Conoidasida; Eucoccidiorida; Cryptosporidiidae.